AGCGAACGCUGGCGGCAGGCUUAACACAUGCAAGUCGAACGGUCCUUCGGGAUAGUGGCGGACGGGUGAGUAACACGCGGGAACGUACCCUUAGGUUCGGAACAACACAGGGAAACUUGUGCUAAUACCGGAUAAGCCCUUCGGGGGAAAGAUUUAUCGCCUUUGGAGCGGCCCGCGUCUGAUUAGCUUGUUGGUGAGGUAAUGGCUCACCAAGGCUACGAUCAGUAGCUGGUCUGAGAGGAUGGCCAGCCACACUGGGACUGAGACACGGCCCAGACUCCUACGGGAGGCAGCAGUGGGGAAUCUUGCGCAAUGGGCGAAAGCCUGACGCAGCCAUGCCGCGUGGAUGAUGAAGGUCUUAGGAUUGUAAAAUCCUUUCACCGGGGACGAUAAUGACGGUACUCGGAGAAGAAGCCCCGGCUAACUUCGUGCCAGCCGCCGCCGUAA
Molecule: ribosomal RNA, 447 nt
Filed under: uncultured bacterium
Lineage: Bacteria
Description: partial 16S ribosomal RNA
Rfam family: Bacterial small subunit ribosomal RNA
Source: RNAcentral